UACGUAGGUGGCAAGCGUUAUCCGGAAUUACUGGGCGUAAAGCGCACGCAGGUGGUCUUUUAAGUUUGACGUGAAAGCUCCCGGCUUAACUGGGAGAGGUCGUUGAAGACUGGAAGACUUGAGGCAAUGAGAGGGGUGUAGAAUUCCCGGUGUAGUGGUGGAAUGCGUAGAUAUCGGGAGGAAUACCAGUGGCGAAAGCGGCACCCUAGCGUUAGCCUGACGCUCAUGUGCGAAAGCGUGGGGAGCAAACGGG
This 253-nucleotide ribosomal RNA is filed under the name uncultured bacterium. RNAcentral describes it as "partial 16S ribosomal RNA". It matches the Rfam family "Bacterial small subunit ribosomal RNA", at positions 524 to 776 of the family's 1533-position model. The record is from RNAcentral.